AGCCGCGGUAAUACGUAGGUGGCAAGCGUUGUCCGGAAUUAUUGGGCGUAAAGCGCGCGCAGGCGGUUCCUUAAGUCUGAUGUGAAAGCCCCCGGCUCAACCGGGGAGGGUCAUUGGAAACUGGGGAACUUGAGUGCAGAAGAGGAGAGCGGAAUUCCACGUGUAGCGGUGAAAUGCGUAGAGAUGUGGAGGAACACCAGUGGCGAAGGCGGCUCUCUGGUCUGUAACUGACGCUGAGGCGCGAAAGCGUGGGGAGCGAACAGGAUUAGAUACCCUGGUAGUCCACGCCGUAAACGAUGAGUGCUAAGUGUUAGAGGGUUUCCGCCCUUUAGUGCUGCAGCAAACGCAUUAAGCACUCCGCCUGGGGAGUACGGCCGCAAGGCUGAAACUCAAAGGAAUUGACGGGGGCCCGCACAAGCGGUGGAGCAUGUGGUUUAAUUCGAAGCAACGCGAAGAACCUUACCAGGUCUUGACAUCCUCUGACAACCCUAGAGAUAGGGCGUUCCCCUUCGGGGGACAGAGUGACAGGUGGUGCAUGGUUGUCGUCAGCUCGUGUCGUGAGAUGUUGGGUUAAGUCCCGCAACGAGCGCAACCCUUGAUCUUAGUUGCCAGCAUUCAGUUGGGCACUCUAAGGUGACUGCCGGUGACAAACCGGAGGAAGGUGGGGAUGACGUCAAAUCAUCAUGCCCCUUAUGACCUGNGCUACACACGUGCUA
RNAcentral lists this ribosomal RNA (716 nucleotides) under uncultured Bacillus sp. RNAcentral's name for it is "bacterial SSU rRNA". It matches the Rfam family "Bacterial small subunit ribosomal RNA", at positions 513 to 1227 of the family's 1533-position model. The record is from RNAcentral. Lineage: Bacteria; Bacillati; Bacillota; Bacilli; Caryophanales; Bacillaceae.